GCCUGGGAUAGCUCAGUCAGUAGAGCAUGAGACUUUUAAUCUCAGAGUCAUGGGGUCAAGCCGCACAUUGGGCA
Podarcis lilfordi (Lilford's wall lizard) is the source of this 74-nucleotide non-coding RNA. Lineage: Eukaryota; Metazoa; Chordata; Lepidosauria; Squamata; Lacertidae. The record is from the annotation of a GenBank genome assembly.